RNAcentral lists this ribosomal RNA (254 nucleotides) under uncultured bacterium. Its description in RNAcentral is "partial 16S ribosomal RNA". It matches the Rfam family "Bacterial small subunit ribosomal RNA", at positions 524 to 776 of the family's 1533-position model. The record is from RNAcentral.
GACGAACCGUGCGAACGUUAUUCGGAAUCACUGGGCUUAAAGCGCGUGUAGGCGGGAGGGCACGUCUGUCGCUGAAAUCCCCCGGCUUAACCGGGGAACGGGCGGGGAUACGACCUUCCUGGAGGAACGUAGGGGGACCUGGAACUUCCGGUGGAGCGGUGAAAUGCGUUGAGAUCGGAAGGAACGCCCGUGGCGAAAGCGAGGUCCUGGACGUUUUCUGACGCUGAGACGCGAAAGCCAGGGGAGCGAACGGG